GACGAACGCUGGCGGCGUGCUUAACACAUGCAAGUCGAACGGAAAGGCCCUGCUUUUGUGGGGUGCUCGAGUGGCGAACGGGUGAGUAACACGUGAGUAACCUGCCCUUGACUUUGGGAUAACUUCAGGAAACUGGGGCUAAUACCGGAUAGGAGCUCCUGCUGCAUGGUGGGGGUUGGAAAGUUUCGGCGGUUGGGGAUGGACUCGCGGCUUAUCAGCUUGUUGGUGGGGUAGUGGCUUACCAAGGCUUUGACGGGUAGCCGGCCUGAGAGGGUGACCGGCCACAUUGGGACUGAGAUACGGCCCAGACUCCUACGGGAGGCAGCAGUGGGGAAUAUUGCACAAUGGGCGGAAGCCUGAUGCAGCAACGCCGCGUGCGGGAUGACGGCCUUCGGGUGGUAAACCGCUUUCGCCUGUGACGAAGCGUGAGUGACGGGAAUGGGUAAAGAAACACCGGCGAACUACGU
This 467-nucleotide ribosomal RNA is filed under the name uncultured bacterium. Its description in RNAcentral is "partial 16S ribosomal RNA". It matches the Rfam family "Bacterial small subunit ribosomal RNA", at positions 28 to 506 of the family's 1533-position model. The record is from RNAcentral.